GUAGGUGAACCUGCGGAAGGAUCAUUACAGAGUUCAUGCCCUCACGGGUAGACCUCCCACCCUUGUGUAUCUAUACCAUGUUGCUUUGGCAGGCUGCUGCCCCCCUCGGGGGACAGCCUCGGCGCCCUCGGGCCUGAGAGUCGCCUGCCGGAGGAAAAACAAACUCUGAAUGUUAGUGUCGUCUGAGUACUAUAUUUUAAUAGUUAAAACUUUCAACAACGGAUCUCUUGGUUCUG
This 236-nucleotide unclassified non-coding RNA is filed under the name rhizosphere metagenome. RNAcentral's name for it is "partial ribosomal RNA internal transcribed spacer region". The record is from RNAcentral.